AACGAACGCUGGCGGCAUGCCUAACACAUGCAAGUCGAACGAGACCUUCGGGUCUAGUGGCGCCCGGGUGCGUAACGCGUGGGAAUCUGCCCUUGGGUUCGGAAUAACAGUUGGAAACGACUGCUAAUACCGGAUGAUGACGUAAGUCCAAAGAUUUAUCGCCCAAGGAUGAGCCCGCGUAGGAUUAGCUAGUUGGUGAGGUAAAGGCUCACCAAGGCGACGAUCCUUAGCUGGUCUGAGAGGAUGAUCAGCCACACUGGGACUGAGACACGGCCCAGACUCCUACGGGAGGCAGCAGUGGGGAAUAUUGGACAAUGGGCGAAAGCCUGAUCCAGCAAUGCCGCGUGAGUGAUGAAGGCCUUAGGGUUGUAAAGCUCUUUUACCCGUGAUGAUAAUGACAGUACCGGGAGAAUAAGCUCCGGCUAACUCCGUG
This 433-nucleotide ribosomal RNA is filed under the name uncultured bacterium. Its description in RNAcentral is "partial 16S ribosomal RNA". It matches the Rfam family "Bacterial small subunit ribosomal RNA", at positions 29 to 507 of the family's 1533-position model. The record is from RNAcentral.